CGGAAACCCAGCUCUGCAGGGUGGGGCCGGGCUUUGCCUCCUAGAAGAGUUCCCAGGAUGCAGCUUCGACACAGACACGCCCAGGGACAGAGCACAGACAUCCCCCACAGCCUCACUGUGUGCUUGACUCGCCAGCUGCCUGCCAGGAUCUUUCACUGGAACCACCCAAAGGAGACUAGCAGCCUCCUGAGUCCCGGCAAAGGGGACCAGGAUGUGGGAUUUCACUGAGAAUUGCUUUGGCAACCCGCUCGCAGGCAGAGCUCAGCUGCUCUUCUCCAGGACACCUCAC
This 289-nucleotide long non-coding RNA is filed under the name Chinchilla lanigera (long-tailed chinchilla). RNAcentral describes it as "lncRNA (ENSCLAG00000024502.1)". The record is from RNAcentral. Lineage: Eukaryota; Metazoa; Chordata; Mammalia; Rodentia; Chinchillidae.